Molecule: long non-coding RNA, 1132 nt
Filed under: Sarcophilus harrisii (Tasmanian devil)
Lineage: Eukaryota; Metazoa; Chordata; Mammalia; Dasyuromorphia; Dasyuridae
Description: lncRNA (ENSSHAG00000027797.1)
Source: RNAcentral
GGGAAGGGCAGGUCGGGCUCUGGGGCGAACCUCGGGCCUGGCCCUGUUUCCGAUGGCCCGGCCUAGAAAAGGUGGGGGUGGGGCGCCCUUGGUUCUGGAAGCCGGGGGUCCCUGCCCCCCCCCCGAGACACGCCCUUUUCCGAGAGCGUCCUGUCCGUGGCCCAUUUUGCAGAGGAGGAAACUGAGGUCCAGCCAAGAGGAGGCGUUUGCCCGAGUCUAGGACAGAGAAGGAAACCCGCGGGGAAAGUGACUUAUCCAAGGUCAUGCAAUGCGGGGCGCAGGAUUUGAACUCGGGUCCCACCCCUCUCCAGAAGCAGGCCCCAGGGCAAAGAUGUAGUCAGUCGGCCUCUUCUGAUGUACUGGGUCCAACGUGACUUGGAACACAUUUGCUCCUCGUUCUUGGAGCGGCGCGCGUCUCCACACGUUGCAUUCUGGCUUCAUGGGCACCCUGGUUUUCUAUCACCCGCGCUCCCUCGCCCCAGAGAGCCCUCCUUGGGAGAAGAAGAAACAAAAGCAGUUAACAAGGAGGGGGAAAGCAAAGCCGAGGCCCGCGCGGAAGGAAGAGGACGCUGCUUGCGGCCCAGCGGAGUUCCGAGACCGGGGUAGAAGGGAAUGUGUCAGUGUGCGGCCAGCCGCGGAACUGGCCGUCCGAGGUCCCUGAGGGACUCACGGGUACCCCCCCCCCCAAAUUAAGGAGACCCCUGGAGGAGCGUCUCCAGAAUAUUCGGCGGGGCACUCUGGAUCGGAAAACAUGGCUGCAGAAAGGGUUUAUUUUUAAUCAACAAACAUUAGGCACCAACUGUAUACCAAGCACUAAUUAGGCGUAAACUCAAGUGUGAGACUCCCACCUGCCCUGAGGAGUUUAUAACCUACUGGGGAUGGAACAGCUUGUUCUACGGUGAGGAAACGGAGGCACAGCGUGAGGUGACUUAUCCAAGGUCACACCGUUAGGACUUGCCUGAUGUUGGAAUUGGACUCGGGAAGGCCCCCUAGCUGCCCAAUAAAAACCCUCCCCUCUUCCCGUUGCUCUCCAGGGUGUCGUCCUCACCUCCCGGAUCCAGUGUUACAAAGGAUGCUUUUUCUAUCUUUGUAAAUACCUCAACUGUGUCCCCUCUCCCCCUCUGAUCCUGUC